Molecule: long non-coding RNA, 435 nt
Organism: Bicyclus anynana (squinting bush brown)
Lineage: Eukaryota; Metazoa; Arthropoda; Insecta; Lepidoptera; Nymphalidae
Exons: 3
Source: RefSeq, a predicted model, not a curated record
GAUUUACCUAAAGUAAUUCCAUCUAUAACAUACGCAAUUGAAGUUGGAGUCAGACAUUUGGAUACUGCGCAUCUCUAUGGCAAUGAGCAUUUAAUUGGACAAGCUCUCUCUAAUGUGUUCAGACGGGGAGUCGUUUCUAGAGAAGAAAUGUUUAUCACGACCAAGCUGGACGGAUCUGUACCAUCCCGAAAGAAGGUGGUACCAUCACUCAAGGAAAAUUUGAGGAGGUUGAGGCUGGAUUACGUUGAUCUCUUUCUCAUUCAUUCGCCAAAUAAUGUGUUUAAUUACUCAAAAUUUGAUAUCUUGGACAUUUGGAAAGGCAUGGAAGAUUGCAAAAGCCUUGGUUUGGCAAGGUCUAUCGGCGUUUCUAACUUUAACAGUUCGCACAUCAACAGGAUGCUUAGAUACUCAAAAAUAAGGCCAGCUGUGAAUCAG